GAUUUUGAUCGUUUUAUGUUUGUUAUCUUUCGUUGGGUUGUCAGUUUUUAUUUUUGUUGUUUACAUGAAUGAGAACUUCUGAAGAAAAGUGAAAUCCUUGUUAAACCCUUCAAUCAUCUAACUCCACGCAGGAUUUUCUUGUCUGAGUGGCGAACUAUGCUUUUUUGGGAAUUUAAAAUUUAAAGGUCAAUUCUUUAGUUGAAUGUGUGCAUAUUACAGCUUGUUGGAGUGAGUGGUUUCCAUUGGAUUGGAUCAUGCAUUGAACAUGCAAUGCAAAAUUUUUCAUAGUUUACUUAGGAUGGGCUAAGAUUGGCAUCAUCUUGGUAAUAUGUGAACCCAAUUGUAGUGUGAAUUUAUUCUGAUCAUCUCUAUGACUGAUUUCCUCUGGAUGCUAUGUAGCUUCAUUUGGUGUCCAAUGGACAGCUUUUACUGGUGGAGCCUAUUUUCA
RNAcentral lists this unclassified non-coding RNA (448 nucleotides) under Hevea brasiliensis (rubber tree). Lineage: Eukaryota; Viridiplantae; Streptophyta; Magnoliopsida; Malpighiales; Euphorbiaceae. The record is from RNAcentral.